GCCGACCGUCCGCAGACCGUCCGCAGACAAAUAAGUACCUCAAUCGGUCUGCGGAACGUCUGCGGACUGUGGGGUGUCGGAGCUCGGCUCGGCACAGCUACGUCACAGCUCGUCUUCAGGUCGUCUACGGAACGUUUGCGGAAGGUCGUCAACCAUUCCGAAAAUUUCGUAGACCCUGUCACCGGGGCCUGCACCAAUGCCGUUGAAGGCUAUUGGUCCCGGUGCAAGGGCUUCUUUCGCCGCCAGGGAGUUAUGUCCAGCCCAUCGGACCUCCUCGCCGGUCACAUCGAUGAAUUUAUGUGGCGGGAGGUGUAUGACCAAGGCGAGGCGGGCGAAACUUUCGCCAACUUCCUGCAACACAUGAGGGGAAUGUUUGCAUGAACCAGCACUACCAACCACUUCCAGCCACCACUACCAGCACUACCAGCC
This is a long non-coding RNA of Thrips palmi, 429 nucleotides long. RefSeq lists it as uncharacterized. The record is from RefSeq and is a predicted model, not a curated record. The transcript is spliced from 3 exons. Lineage: Eukaryota; Metazoa; Arthropoda; Insecta; Thysanoptera; Thripidae.